UCCUGGCUCAGAUUGAACGCUGGCGGCAGGCCUAACACAUGCAAGUCGAGCGGUAACAGGGGUAGCUUGCUACCCGCUGACGAGCGGCGGACGGGUGAGUAACGCGUGAGAAUCUGCCCAUCAGUGGGGGAUAACCCGGGGAAACUCGGGCUAAUACCGCAUACGUCCUACGGGACAAAGCAGGGGACCUUUUGGCCUUGCGCUGAUGGAUGAGCUCGCGUCGGAUUAGCUUGUUGGUGAGGUAAAGGCUCACCAAGGCGACGAUCCGUAGCUGGUCUGAGAGGAUGAUCAGCCACACCGGGACUGAGACACGGCCCGGACUCCUACGGGAGGCAGCAGUGGGGAAUCUUGGACAAUGGGGGCAACCCUGAUCCAGCCAUGCCGCGUGUGUGAAGAAGGCCUUCGGGUUGUAAAGCACUUUCAGUAGGGAGGAAGGCUUCGGAUUAAUACUCUGGAGUACUUGACGUUACCUACAGAAGAAGCACCGGCUAAUUUCGUGCCAGCAGCCGCGGUAAUACGAAAGGUGCAAGCGUUAAUCGGAAUUACUGGGCGUAAAGCGCGCGUAGGCGGUGUGUUAAGUCGGAUGUGAAAGCCCAGGGCUCAACCUUGGAAUUGCAUCCGAUACUGGCACGCUAGAGUGCAGUAGAGGGAGGUGGAAUUUCCGGUGUAGCGGUGAAAUGCGUAGAGAUCGGAAGGAACACCAGUGGCGAAGGCGGCCUCCUGGACUGACACUGACGCUGAGGUGCGAAAGCGUGGGGAGCAAACAGGAUUAGAU
This 775-nucleotide ribosomal RNA is filed under the name Alcanivorax sp. W340. Its description in RNAcentral is "bacterial SSU rRNA". It matches the Rfam family "Bacterial small subunit ribosomal RNA", at positions 17 to 783 of the family's 1533-position model. Lineage: Bacteria; Pseudomonadati; Pseudomonadota; Gammaproteobacteria; Oceanospirillales; Alcanivoracaceae. The record is from RNAcentral.